Molecule: ribosomal RNA, 459 nt
Filed under: uncultured bacterium
Lineage: Bacteria
Description: partial 16S ribosomal RNA
Rfam family: Bacterial small subunit ribosomal RNA
Source: RNAcentral
CCUACGGGGGGCAGCAGUGAGGAAUAUUGGUCAAUGGUCGGGAGACUGAACCAGCCAAGCCGCGUGAGGGAGGAAGGUACAGAGUAUCGUAAACCUCUUUUGUCAGGGAACAAAGACUGGGACGCGUCUCCGGAUGAGUGUACCUGAAGAAAAAGCAUCGGCUAACUCCGUGCCAUCAGCCGCGGUAAUACGGAGGAUGAGAGCGUUAGCCGGAUUUAUUGGGUUUAAAGGGGGCGCAGGCGGUCGUUUAAGUCAGCGGUCAAAGCCCGGGGCUCAACCCCGGCCCGCCGUUGAAACUGGCAGUCGCGAGUUGGAGAGAAGUAUGCGGAAUGCGCGGUGUAGCGGUGAAAUGCAUAGAUAUCGCGCAGAACUCCGAUUGUGAAGGCAGCAUGCCGGCUCCACACUGACGCUGAGGCACGAAAGCGUGGGUAUCGAACAGGAUUAGAUACCCUUGUAGUC